UGAGGGAUGGACUUUCAUAACCACCACAGGCUCUUGUUUGCAUUGUCCAGAUCCACAGCUCUACAUAAAUGACCCACUGACCCAGCUGGCAUGUUCUAAAAUCAGUCAUCAUGUUGGCACUGGAAUGUGCUUCCCCUCUGAGGAUGAGAAAUGAUUAACUCUGACAGUGAUGCUGGGCAGGGGUGUACCUGCAAGAUGAUGGCCUUUUCUAAAGGGCAGCUUUCCCUUAAACUCUCCCCACAAGCCUCAAUAAAAUUUGCAUAGAGCUGCACUGCAGUUUAAUAAAUAACAUUACCUGUGCCUUUCAUCCUUUCUCUCUGCCCCCUGUGUUUUUUUUCUUCAUAGGAGAAGACAUGAUUUAUGGUCUGAUGGCUUUUCCGGUAGGUCAUUCUCGCUGGCACUUCCCUUAAUAAAUAAUCUCAUCUUGGCAUCUGUCUCUUGGAGGAUCUGGACUAACACAGAUGGUUUGGACAUGUGCUGGGACAUCCUGAUGUUCAUAUUUGAAUAGAAUUCCCCACUGAAGAAAGAAAAUGGUGGCCAAUUGACUAAGAGUACAAGACAUCAAUUUGCAAAAUGAAUUAUGUGUAGUUCUGAGCCCACUGCACUGUGCGCUCUAUUCAGCCCGAUGAAGUACUGCUCAGUUUUUGAGUGAACUGUAUUGCUUUUUACACCCACCUCCUCUUUCCAAGGAGAAAGCGGAGAACAAGGAAGACAGCGUUAGUUCUAAGUGUGAUUCUGAAUCUGGUUCAGCGGAGAACGAACACAGCGGAACAGAAACUGAACCCAAGGCUUCAUGCAUGCAAGUCAGGAACUCUGCUGCCAACCCGCGUUUCAAUUCCACAAUUCUAACUUUAAAGGUGGCUCUGAAGGAGUGAGUCUUUUUAGUGCUGUCUAGGAUGAAAUAAAGAUUUAGAAGGUGUGAGCCGGCUUGCUUUC
Molecule: long non-coding RNA, 936 nt
Filed under: Mus spicilegus (steppe mouse)
Lineage: Eukaryota; Metazoa; Chordata; Mammalia; Rodentia; Muridae
Description: lncRNA (ENSMSIG00000026243.1)
Source: RNAcentral